RNAcentral lists this ribosomal RNA (301 nucleotides) under uncultured bacterium. RNAcentral describes it as "partial 16S ribosomal RNA". It matches the Rfam family "Bacterial small subunit ribosomal RNA", at positions 509 to 807 of the family's 1533-position model. The record is from RNAcentral.
CAGCAGCCGCGGGAAUACGGAGGGGGCUAGCGUUGUUCGGAAUUACUGGGCGUAAAGCGCACGUAGGCGGCUUGGUAAGUUAGAGGUGAAAGCCCGGAGCUCAACUCCGGAAUUGCCUUUAAGACUGCCGAGCUAGUAGGUGAGAGAGGUAAGUGGAAUUCCGAGUGUAGAGGUGAAAUUCGUAGAUAUUCGGAAGAACACCAGUGGCGAAGGCGGCUUACUGGCCCAUUCUAGACGCUGAGGUGCGAAAGCGUGGGGAGCAAACAGGAUUAGAUACCCGCGUAGUCCCUGUCUCUUAUAC